CCUACGGGCGGCAGCAGUGAGGAAUAUUGGUCAAUGGCCGGAAGGCUGAACCAGCCAUGCCGCGUGAAGGUCAGUGCCCUAUGGGCGUUAAACUUCUUUUGUGCGGGAGCAAUAAUGGUCACGUGUGGCCAGACGAGAGUACCGUACGCAUAAGCAUCGGCUAACUCCGUGCCAGCAGCCGCGGUGAUACGGGGGGUGCAAGCGUUAACCGGAUUUAUUGGGUUUAAAGGGUGCGUAAGCUGUGAGGUAAGGCAGCGGUGAAAUGCCCCCGCUCAACGGGGUGAAGUGCCAUUGAUACUGCCUUGCUGGAGUGCGGAUGCGGUGGGAGGAAUGUGUGGUGUAGCGGUGAAAUGCAUAGAUAUCACACAGAACACCGAUUGCGAAGGCAUCUCACUGGUCCGCGAUUGACGCUGAUGCACGAAAGCGUGGGUAUCAAACAGGAUUAGAUACCCGGGUAGUC
This 460-nucleotide ribosomal RNA is filed under the name uncultured bacterium. RNAcentral describes it as "partial 16S ribosomal RNA". It matches the Rfam family "Bacterial small subunit ribosomal RNA", at positions 338 to 795 of the family's 1533-position model. The record is from RNAcentral.